This 506-nucleotide ribosomal RNA is filed under the name uncultured bacterium. RNAcentral's name for it is "partial 16S ribosomal RNA". It matches the Rfam family "Bacterial small subunit ribosomal RNA", at positions 29 to 523 of the family's 1533-position model. The record is from RNAcentral.
AGUGAACGCUGGCGGUAGGCCUAACACAUGCAAGUCGAACGGCAGCACAGGAGAGCUUGCUCUCUGGGUGGCGAGCGGCGGACGGGUGAGGAAUACAUCGGAAUCUACUCUGUCGUGGGGGAUAACGUAGGGAAACUUACGCUAAUGCCGCAUACGACCUACGGGUGAAAGCAGGGGAUCUUCGGACCUUGCGCGAUUGCAUGAGCCGAUGUCGGAUUAGCUAGUUGGCGGGGUAAAGGCCCACCAAGGCGACGAUCCGUAGCUGGUCUGAGAGGAUGAUCAGCCACACUGGAACUGAGACACGGUCCAGACUCCUACGGGAGGCAGCAGUGGGGAAUAUUGGACAAUGGGCGCAAGCCUGAUCCAGCCAUACCGCGUGGGUGAAGAAGGCCUUCGGGUUGUAAAGCCCUUUUGUUGGGAAAGAAAUCCAGCUGGCUAAUACCCGGUUGGGAUGACGGUACCCAAAGAAUAAGCACCGGCUAACUUCGUGCCAGCCGCCGCAGUAA